ACACUUACCUGGCCAGGGAGAUACCAUGAUCACGAAGGUGGUUCACCCAGAGUGAGGCCCAGCCAUUGCACUGUGGCUGUACCGACCCCUGCAAAUUCCACAAAUGUGCACAUCUCCACUGCAUAAUUUCCGGUAGUGGGGGACUGCGUUCACGCUCUCUCCUG
Small nuclear RNA from Paramormyrops kingsleyae, 164 nucleotides. Its record names the gene U1. It matches the Rfam family "U1 spliceosomal RNA". From Rfam's summary of the family: U1 is a small nuclear RNA (snRNA) component of the spliceosome (involved in pre-mRNA splicing). Its 5' end forms complementary base pairs with the 5' splice junction, thus defining the 5' donor site of an intron. Lineage: Eukaryota; Metazoa; Chordata; Actinopteri; Osteoglossiformes; Mormyridae. The record is from Ensembl.